UGGGAACGUGCCCUUCAGUUCGGGAUAACCCAGGGAAACUUGGGCUAAUACCGUGAUACGUGCGAGAGCAGAAAGAUUUAUCGCUGAAGGAUCGGCCCGCGUCUGAUUAGCUAGUUGGUGAGGUAAUGGCUCACCAAGGCGACGAUCAGUAGCUGGUCUGAGAGGAUGAUCAGCCACAUUGGGACUGAGACACGGCCAAACUCCUACGGGAGGCAGCAGUGGGGAAUAUUGGACAAUGGGCGCAAGCCUGAUCCAGCCAUGCCGCGUGAGUGAUGAAGGCCUUAGGGUUGUAAAGCUCUUUCGUCCGGGACGAUAAUGACGGUACCGGAAGAAGAAGCCCCGGCUAACUUCGUGCCAGCCGCCGCGG
RNAcentral lists this ribosomal RNA (367 nucleotides) under uncultured bacterium. RNAcentral's name for it is "bacterial SSU rRNA". It matches the Rfam family "Bacterial small subunit ribosomal RNA", at positions 118 to 520 of the family's 1533-position model. The record is from RNAcentral.